GAAAGUGGAAUUCCAUGUGUAGCGGUGAAAUGCGCAGAGAUAUGGAGGAACACCAGUGGCGAAGGCGGCUUUCUGGUCUGUAACUGACGCUGAUGUGCGAAAGCGUGGGGAUCAAACAGGAUUAGAUGCCCUGGUAGUCCACGCCGUAAACGAUGAGUGCUAAGUGUUAGGGGGUUUCCGCCCCUUAGUGCUGCAGCUAACGCAUUAAGCACUCCGCCUGGGGAGUACGGUCGCAAGACUGAAACUCAAAGGAA
This 254-nucleotide ribosomal RNA is filed under the name Staphylococcus chromogenes. RNAcentral describes it as "partial 16S ribosomal RNA". It matches the Rfam family "Bacterial small subunit ribosomal RNA", at positions 657 to 909 of the family's 1533-position model. Lineage: Bacteria; Bacillati; Bacillota; Bacilli; Caryophanales; Staphylococcaceae. The record is from RNAcentral.